RNAcentral lists this transfer-messenger RNA (389 nucleotides) under Acidobacteriota bacterium. It matches the Rfam family "transfer-messenger RNA". Rfam says of the family: Bacterial tmRNA, also known as 10Sa RNA or SsrA, is named for its dual tRNA and mRNA-like properties. Its role is to liberate the mRNA from a stalled ribosome. To accomplish this part of the tmRNA is used as a reading frame that ends in a translation stop signal. Lineage: Bacteria; Pseudomonadati; Acidobacteriota. The record is from RNAcentral.
GGGGGCGACAGGCUUCGACAGGGGUUUGGACGACCGACGGAUGUCAUGCCGGGCUACUCUAUGCAGCUCGUUAAAAAGCGUAGGGAAAAAACAAUUGCCAACUCUAACGAGUUAGCUCUCGCAGCCUAAACAGCUAGCGAGCGUCUCCGCCGCAAGUUGCUCAUGCGCGCGGAUGGAGAUGUCACCUUAAGAUGAGCUGGCCCAACUUUUCGGUCCGUGAGGUUGGGCGAGACCAAGUCGGACUAGCUUUCAUCGAGGUCUUGUCGCUUCACUGACUCGAUGCUAAGCGAAAAUUGGUCGCUUGACGGCCAGAAAGAGAAGCGAAUAAGCAUGUAGAGUCUUUCGGCGGCUUCUCUUGGAUCCGAGUUCAAUUCUCGGCGCCUCCACCA